ACUUGGUCUUUCUACUCCAGCCUUUGCCUCCAAUUUAGUUCACUCCCCUACAGUUUGCUCUUGCACGGCUAGGCUGCCGUCGCCACAACAGCCUUCCUACUUACUUCUGACGCUAACCCCCGCUGGGGAUCCUUUUUUCCAGUGACACCUGGUGAUAUUUCUCAGUUACAAAGUAUCCAUUCAGCAAGAGUUUAUUGAUGAUGCUAUUACAGGACAGCCACUGUGAAGGCACUGGCGAUAUGAGGCCGCUUGUGACCUCCCAGAGGAGACAGGUGUGUGACCAAUGGCGGAAUUCUGGGGGUGGGGGGAGCGAGUGACUGCCAUCAGAGAGAAAUGAACAGGCACAGAGACGGGAGGUUGGAAGAGGUCAUUUAUUCCCUCCCUCCCUCUCUUUCCCUUUUCCUUCCUUCUACUCUGGCUUUGUCUGUCUCAUUCAUUCAGAAAAAACUAUCUGGUGACAGGUCAGAUAAACAAGAUAUGUUAUGCACCGAGUGGGGGUGGUAUAUGGAAAUGAGCAUGGUAUGAAAUCACCCCUUAAAGGGCUGGCUUCUUAGUGUGCACGUGUGCACAUACAUGUGUAUGCACAAGUUCACCCAUGUCCACACUGGGUGCAAGAUGCUAAGUUCCAGAAACCUUGUUAUCCUCAAACCUCCAGGACGUAACAUGGGGCUGGGACAGAGUAAGUUCUUGGGGGGGCAUUUAUAGAAUGAAUGAAUGAAUAUAUGAUUGACCUAGUAUGAAAAGUAGAUGAGUGUUUUCAGAAGAAUCAACCUUUGUCAGCAGUCGAGUUUGUUUUCUUUUUCUUUCUUUCUUUUUUUUUUUUUUUUGUCUUUUUAGAGCUACACCCACAGCAUAUGGAGGUUCCCAGGCUAGGGGUCGAAUCAGAGCAACACUCGAUCCUUAACCCACUGAGCAAGGCCAGGGAUCGAACCUGCAUCCUCAUGGACGCUAGUUAGAUUUGUUUCCACUGAGCCACAACAGGAACUCCAGCAGGAAAGGUUUGAGGUGUGGAUUCUGUCCAGCUAAGAAGGCUCCCUCUUCCCUCCCUAAAGUUCACAUUCACCAUCAUGCCCAUUCAAGGUCCCCAGCUGUAUAUACAGAGGCCCAGCUGCUCUCCAGAAGAGAGAGAAGCUGGGUUGAUGAUGCCAUGCUGACUUGAUGUUCUUUCUCAGGUGAGCAUGAUGAAAGUGAAGGUGGCAGCAGUGGUGAUGGUGACGUGAUAGCUGCUCCUUACUGCACAGACACUAUGUGCCAGCCACUGCCUGAGACAACUGACUGGCAACCCAGCAAAAAAGAAAUUCUUAGCACCUCAUCAGAAAUGGGGACACUGAAGUUCAGACACACCCAUAAAACUUUCUGGAGUUUGUACUCAACUAAAGCAUCAUCCCUUUCUCUGGCCCCUCUGUAUUUGGCCAGCCUCAGCUCACUUCCCCGUGGUUUCCAGCCUCUGAACCCAACAUGCUCUGAGAAGCACAAAAUAAUGGCAGAGGAUAAAGGAUUUCAUAAGCAAUGACGGAAAUACGGGUAGAGUCAGAAUACAGGAAGUAUCAUGGCUGAGAUGCAUGCCGGACGAUGCAAGCUAAUGUAUCGUUCAGAUUGGAAGAGAAGUCAGACUAGAGUUCAGUUUCUGGAUCCUGAGAAAUGGAUCGGCACACCUCUUUCCAAAUAUUGCUAUUGCCUGGAAAACAGUGGAGCAAGAAUUACAGCAAGUACUAUUGGCGAGAAAAGUAACAGCAAAAAAUCACAACUGUGACUCCUUCACAUGUAUUAGGAUUUCAUUCAGGUUUAAUUCGGUUGGCUGUGAUUUUUGGUCUGUUUGCUUCUCCAUUUUUAUUCUAACUUUUGUGUCUGCUGCACAAAACCUUAGGGUAACUUCUAUCCUUCUCUGGAUUUCUUGAAUCUUUUGUGACUUUGUCUUUGACAAGUGGUGUCUUAAAAAUUGUUAUGUUUUACACUUGUGUAUAUUUUUUCCAUUGGCAACUUAAUGUCCUAUAACCUGGUAAUUUCACCCAAGAUAUAUUCCCAUGGAAACAGAUACCCUCCCAGACAUGCUCAUCAAAAGCCACGUACGAGAAGAUGUGCAGCAGCACUGCAGCUGGCAGAGCCCCACAAAGCCCAACAAUCAUGUGAUGCUAUAGUCACAAAACAACACUAUAUGGCAAGGCAAAGAAUAUAUCCUGUAACCAAAUGCGACUACAUGGAUUAGUUUCCAAAGCACCACAUUAAGGGAAAGAAGUCAAUAGAAAAAAAAAGGACUUAGCUUUUGAUUCCAUUAUUGGAAAAUUCAAACCAGGCAAAACCAAGCUGUUUUGUUUCUUAACCUGGAGCGUGCAGGGUAUGUGCACCCUAUCAAACUUAGUGGAUUGUUACUUAUGAUUUGAGAACGUCCAUGUAUGUUACACCACAGUAAUGAUUAUAAUGAAAAAAAAAUCACAUUAUCAAGAAGAAAGUGAUAAGCAGAACAAAGGAAUACAUAUGUAUCCAUAAUCUGACCACCAGGGAUGAUCACUGUACUGGUUCAUAUCCUCCAAGUCUUUUCACAUUUAUUUUUAAUGCAUUUAUCCACUAAUUACAUCAUUUCAGUUGCUACAUAUAGUAAAUCAAAUGAGUAUAUACUAACUAUCUAUCUCUUUGCUCAUUUUCAGCAUUUAUAUUACUGUUAUUAGUAUUAUAAAUACUGCCACAAUGAACAGCUUUUACCUACGAGGGAUUUACAUGGAAUUACUGGAUCAACUGGUAUACAUUUUUAGAUACUAUUCAUAAACAGUCAACAACUGUUUUUGUUUGUUUGUUUGUUUUUUGUCUUGUUGUUGUUGCUAUUUCUUGGGCCGCUCCCGCGGCAUGUGGAGGUUCCCAGGCUGGGGGUUGAAUCGGAGCUGUAGCCACCGGCCUACGCCAGAGCCACAGCAACGCGGGAUCCGAGCCGCGUCUGCAACCUACACCACAGCUCACGGCAACGCCGGAUCGUUAACCCACUGAGCAAGGGCAGGGACUGAACCCACAACCUCAUGGUUCCUAGUCGGACUCGUCAACCACUGCGCCACGACGGGAACUCCAAUAACUGUUUUAAUCAGGAUUCCAGUAGGAAUAAACUGAGACCCUCUCUCAGGAUGAAUGCCCUGGCUCUGUCUAAUAAAAUACACUUUUCUCCUUUUGAAGGAGGCAUAAACUUUUCAGGUGAGGAUUUUAAGGUAAUUUGAGUAACAUCUCUGAAUCACAGAUGCCAACAUGAGAAGUUUCUCUUCUCUCACUGAAACUCAACAGCCUUCAUUGUACCUGCCCCUCCAAGUGAUUGCUUGUGUCUGGCUUGAGAGUAUCCUGAUCCAUUAGUAAUGCCUGCCAUGAUGCAGCAACUGAACGAAGAGCAUGUUGGCAGGUGUUUGCCAGCCCUCUUCUACAGUGUGUGACAGUUAGUUUGCUGAUGUCCAGUCCUGUGAUGGCAUUUAUGCACAAGUUGCCAAGGUGGAACUGCUUGAUAGAAGUUGGCCUAAGAACCGGGCAGGAGAUUGCAGCGUAGAAAUAGCAUCUUUCUUUGUCUGGUGCAAAUGCAUGUGCACACACAAACACACACAUCCCUAAUAAGAACAGCUUUAAACUAAAAGCACUUUAUACAGAUGGCCAACAAACACAUGAAAAAGUGCUCAACAUCGCUGAUUAUAAGAGAAAUGCAAAUCAAAACUACCAUGAGAUACCACCUCACACCAGUCAGAAUGGCCAUCAUUAAUAAAUCCACAAAUAACAAGUGCUGGAGGGGCUGUGGAGAAAAGGGAACCCUCCUGCACUGUUGGUGGGAAUGUCAACUGGUACAGCCACUAUGGAGAACAGUUUGGAGAUACCUUAGAAAUCUAUACAUAGAACUUCCAUAUGACCCUGCAAUCCCACUCUUGGGCAUCUAUCCGGACAAAGCUCUACUUAAAAGAGACACAUGCACCCGCAUGUUCAUUGCAGCACUAUUCACAAUAGCCAGGACAUGGAAACAAUCCAAAUGUCCAUCGACAGAGGAUUGGAUUCGGAAGAUGUGUAUAUAUACACGAUGGAAUACUACUCAGCCAUAAAAAAGGAUGACAUCAUGCCAUUUGCAGCAACAUGGAUGGAACUAGAGAAUCUCAUACUGAGUGAAAUGAGCCAGAAAGACAAAGACAAAUACCAUAUGACAUCACUUAUAACUGGAAUCUAAUAUCCAGCACAAAUGAACAUCUCCUCAGAAAAGAAAAUCAAUCAUGGACUUGGAGAAGAGACUUGUGGUUGCCUGAUGGGAGGGGGAGGGAGUGGGAGGGAUCGGGAGCUUGGGCUUAUCAGUCACAACGUAGAAUAGAUUUACAAGGAGAUCCCGCUGAAUAGCAUUGAGAACUAUGUCUAGAUACUCAUGUUGCAACAGAAGAAAUGGUGGGGGAAAAACUGUAAUUGUAAUGUAUACAUGUAAGGAUAACCUGACCCCCUUGCUGUACAGUGGGAAAAUAAAAUUUAAUAAAAAAAAAUAAAAUAAAAUAAAAACAGGAAAAAAAAAAAGCACUUUAACUCAAGUCAGGUACCCCUACCUGAAAGUAUGUUAUAUUUUCCUUUACUUUCCAGCUAAAUUCUAUUGAGUUCUAGCAUCUCUACUGCAGACAAUCUAGCCUGGAUGCGAGGAAGAGAUCACUUUGAAGGAGGGAAACUUGCUCAUCCCACGAACUGAAAGUCUUGUUCUUGUCUUCCUGCUUCACUUUCAGAGAGCAGGAGGGAGAUGCAAGGAGGGACAGGGCAUCUUGGGUCUGAAUGUCAUUAUGGCUGUAACGACAGCUAAAGACCAACUGCUCCCUGCUGAGGAGCUCUGCAUGGUCUGGAGCUGGCCUCUGUCCUAUCAGCUGGGAACUGCCUCACCGGGCUCCAGGGAAUGGGCCUGAGAUCAGAGCAGAAUUGGAGUCAAUGAUGGAGAACCCCCCCCCAAAAAAAACCCAAUGCAAACAAAAAAACCACAGCACUGAUGUCCUUACUUUGCUCCCAGAUCUGGAAAACAUACACACUCUUUCAGGCAGUAAAGUGGUCUGCAAUUAAACUCCUAAACACACAAGCUAGUUUCUAGGCAUACAUUCAUUUGGAUGAAGCGAACACUUGCUUUUCUUUCUCCUUAAUCUGUGUGUUGCAUCAUGGCGCAUGCCUCUCACAGAUUUGUUCCAUUAGCUGAAUGCAACUUGGGCUUUUCCAGUAGAAUUCUAUUGGAAACUCUACUUAUGGUAAUUAUAAUAUCUAUUCAUGGACUGAGAAACCUCUGCUUUUUUUGUCUGCAGGACCAAAUAAUACCAUCUACUUCAAGAGUAGUUGUAAGCAUUAAGGAGGCUAAGAGUAAUAAUAAUAAUAUUAACAAUACCAGUGGCUUCUACAAAUGUUUCUUAAAUAACAAGAAUUGUGUGCUGUUAUUUAAUUCUUCCAAUAGCAACGUCAGAGAGGUACGAUGUAUAUUUUAUAGAGGAAGAAGUGGAAAAUCAGAAGGAUUGAGACAGGCUGUCAUGGUGACCUGGUUAAUUAGGUCACGUCUCCUCCUUGCAUUAACUUCUAUGAUAUGCUCUUCCCAUGCCCACAUUUUAUGGCUUGAACAGUGUGCCUGAGACAGAAUAAACAAUCAAUGGUCUCGGGUACGGAUCAGUAGCACUAUUGCUACCAAUCAGUAACUCAGCUUACUCCCCAUAAAUAGCCCCCAGCCCACUGUACAGAUGUGCAGUCUGUACAUGGAAGCUGUCCUGGGAAACUGUGACGGGAGAGAUUGAAGCCAAGCCUCAAAGCAAGGAUACGGCAGAGCCACACUUAGGUUUCAAUCCCAAACCAGGCACCUACCAGCCACUGGCCCUGCAUGGCUUGUAUUGCUUUGAUUCUUUAACCAUCUGUGAGAUGACUUCCUUAUGUCAUAACUCAGGUUGCCUGUCCAGCCUGGGGUGGCGGGGGAAGCCUUCAGAGCAGCACUCAGUCCGGUCUUUCCUUUCAGCUGAAAUGUGGUGGGAAGAAUCCAUGAACAGAGCCCGUUCCCCAAAGCCUCUGUCCCUGGGACCAGCUGCCCCUUGGAAGUCCUGUGGCCUUGAGGGCUGGCAGGGCCCCCCUGCUCUAGCCUCUGCAGACAGUUUGACAGAGGGCUCGUGUGCACAGGCAAACCUCUAUCUUCAGUCACCCGUGGCUGCAGCCAGAGAUCAGU
Molecule: long non-coding RNA, 6163 nt
Filed under: Sus scrofa (pig)
Lineage: Eukaryota; Metazoa; Chordata; Mammalia; Artiodactyla; Suidae
Description: lncRNA (ENSSSCG00000058143.1)
Source: RNAcentral